This 406-nucleotide ribosomal RNA is filed under the name uncultured bacterium. Its description in RNAcentral is "partial 16S ribosomal RNA". It matches the Rfam family "Bacterial small subunit ribosomal RNA", at positions 30 to 526 of the family's 1533-position model. The record is from RNAcentral.
AUUGAACGCUGGCGGCAGGCCUAACACAUGCAAGUCGAGCGAGCGGCGGACGGGUGAGUACUGUCUGGGAAAAUGACUGAUGGAGGGGGAUAACUACUGGAAACGGUAGCUAAUACAGCAUACCAUCGGAUGUGCCCAUAUGGGAUUAGCUGGUAGGUGGGGUUACGGCUACAUUAGGCGACGAUCCCUAUCUGGUCUGAGAGGAUGACCAGCCACACUGUAACUGAGACACGGUCCAUGCUCCUACGGGAGGCAGCAGUGCGGAAUAUUUCACAAUGGGCUCAAGCCUGAUGCAGCCAUGCCGCGUGUGUGAAGAAGGCCUUCGGGUUGUAAAGCACUUUCAGCGGGGAGGCGUUACCCGCAGAAGAAGCACCGGCUAACUCCGUGCCAGCAGCCGCGGUAAUUC